RNAcentral lists this ribosomal RNA (497 nucleotides) under uncultured bacterium. Its description in RNAcentral is "partial 16S ribosomal RNA". It matches the Rfam family "Bacterial small subunit ribosomal RNA", at positions 28 to 507 of the family's 1533-position model. The record is from RNAcentral.
GAUGAACGCUGGCGGCGUGCCUAAUACAUGCAAGUCGAGCGAACGGACGAGAAGCUUGCUUCUCUGAUGUUAGCGGCGGACGGGUGAGUAACCCGUGGAUAACCUACCUAUAAGACUGGGAUAACUUCGGGAAACCGGAGCUAAUACCGGAUAAUAUUUUGAACCGCAUGGUUCAAAAGUGAAAGACGGUCUUGCUGUCACUUAUAGAUGGAUCCGCGCUGCAUUAGCUAGUUGGUAAGGUAACGGCUUACCAAGGCAACGAUGCAUAGCCGACCUGAGAGGGUGAUCGGCCACACUGGAACUGAGACACGGUCCAGACUCCUACGGGAGGCAGCAGUAGGGAAUCUUCCGCAAUGGGCGAAAGCCUGACGGAGCAACGCCGCGUGAGUGAUGAAGGUCUUCGGAUCGUAAAACUCUGUUAUUAGGGAAGAACAUAUGUGUAAGUAACUGUGCACAUCUUGACGGUACCUAAUCAGAAAGCCACGGCUAACUACGUG